CCUACGGGAGGCAGCAGUGAGGAAUAUUGGUCAAUGGGCGCGAGCCUGAACCAGCCAAGUCGCGUGAGGGAGGAAGGUUCUAUGUAUCGUAAACCUCUUUUGUAAGGGAAUAAAGUGUGGGACGUGUCCUCUGUUGUAUGUACCUUAUGAAUAAGCAUCGGCUAACUCCGUGCCAGCAGCCGCGGUAAUACGGAGGAUCCGAGCGUUAUCCGGAUUUAUUGGGUUUAAAGGGUGCGGUGGCGGUCUUUUAAGUCAGCGGUGAAAGGCUGGGGCUCAAACAUAGAAUCGCCGUUGAAACUGGGGGGCUCGAGUUUGUUUGAGGCAGGCGGAAUGCGCGGUGUAGCGGUGAAAUGCUUAGAUAUCGCGCAGAACCCCGAUUGCGAAGGCAGCAUGCCAGGUCAUGACUGACGCUGAUGCACGAAAGCGUGGGGAUCAAACAGGAUUAGAUACCCGAGUAGUC
RNAcentral lists this ribosomal RNA (460 nucleotides) under uncultured bacterium. RNAcentral describes it as "partial 16S ribosomal RNA". It matches the Rfam family "Bacterial small subunit ribosomal RNA", at positions 338 to 795 of the family's 1533-position model. The record is from RNAcentral.